Molecule: long non-coding RNA, 757 nt
Filed under: Phoenix dactylifera (date palm)
Lineage: Eukaryota; Viridiplantae; Streptophyta; Magnoliopsida; Arecales; Arecaceae
Description: long non-coding RNA (PDAC_LNC018458)
Source: RNAcentral
UACAUGAAAAAUUAAUAUCACAGCCCCAAAUAAUACCAUUUAGGUCACACAAAGUUCCCUUAAGAAGACUGGAUAAUUGCAACACUACCGGGUUGAUAACAACAUUCAAAAGUUCAAUAAUAGCAAGCAAAUAUCCCAUGCAUCAUUCUCAACAAGAAUCUUUCUUCCUUAAUUCUCAGCUUCUUCCCUCCAUUCAACUGUAAUCAUAAUACUAGAUUGCAACUUUCACAUUCUCCAAAUCCCCCGCACUGCAAUAACCAUAACCAUCAGGCCUUGUCUCCCAACUACAUAUGGUGAUUUGGCAAAGUCUCUAACUCAGAUCAGUCAAGCUUAAAAACGCAAAUAGAUCUACAGUAGACAAAAUGAUAUAUAAAAAGAAAUGCGAUCUUCAUAAAAUAGGCCUUGUAUAGGAUCUCCAACAUGAAUCAAGACCCCGAACCCAGCUCAAAAUGCUGAAUUUGCUGAAAAUACAAUAUAAAACCAUCCCUCAGCUCAAAACCACCAGAUCUGAGCCACAGCACCAUGUCAGUCCAAGCAGAUAUCUAUAAAGACAACCAAAAAAAAAUACCUAUCGCACCAAGAAAACCAGAAAAUCAAUCUUUUGCGCAAAAAACAGAGCAGAAACCAGGAAGCCUCUUCCCGGGACUCUUCGCCAUAUUUCUUAAAUCCAAGGCCAGAAAUCAAGCAAAGACCAAGGAUUCCUGAAACCCUAGCUACCUCCAGAUCAAUUCCAGCGAGAACAACAGCAGAUCUAGCG